Molecule: transfer RNA, 88 nt
Filed under: Deltaproteobacteria bacterium
Lineage: Bacteria; Pseudomonadati; Myxococcota; Myxococcia
Also listed under: 1 other name
Description: tRNA-Ser
Rfam family: tRNA
About the family: Transfer RNA (tRNA) molecules are approximately 80 nucleotides in length. Their secondary structure includes four short double-helical elements and three loops (D, anti-codon, and T loops). Further hydrogen bonds mediate the characteristic L-shaped molecular structure. tRNAs have two regions of fundamental functional importance: the anti-codon, which is responsible for specific mRNA codon recognition, and the 3' end, to which the tRNAs corresponding amino acid is attached (by aminoacyl-tRNA synthetases). tRNAs cope with the degeneracy of the genetic code in two manners: having more than one tRNA (with a specific anti-codon) for a particular amino acid; and 'wobble' base-pairing, i.e. permitting non-standard base-pairing at the 3rd anti-codon position.
Source: RNAcentral
GGAGAGAUGGCCGAGCGGUUGAAGGCGCCAGACUCGAAAUCUGGUGUGCGCCCUGUGCGUACCGUGGGUUCGAAUCCCACUCUCUCCG